Molecule: small nuclear RNA, 145 nt
Organism: Heterocephalus glaber (naked mole-rat)
Lineage: Eukaryota; Metazoa; Chordata; Mammalia; Rodentia; Bathyergidae
Gene: U2
Rfam family: U2 spliceosomal RNA
About the family: U2 is a small nuclear RNA (snRNA) component of the spliceosome (involved in pre-mRNA splicing).
Source: Ensembl
AUCGCUUCUCGGCCUUUUGGCUAAGAUCAAGUGUAGUACAAAGAAAUGGUAAAUAUUUGAAAUAAUUCUUAACCUAAGUAGCUUGAGUUUGGCAAAGUAAAAUAUACAAAUUUAGCAAAGUAUCACACUAUAGUAUAUGCCACAA